RNAcentral lists this unclassified non-coding RNA (404 nucleotides) under soil metagenome. RNAcentral's name for it is "partial contains 5.8S ribosomal RNA, internal transcribed spacer 2, and large subunit ribosomal RNA". The stretch from base 1 to 122 matches the Rfam family "5.8S ribosomal RNA", at positions 35 to 154 of the family's 154-position model. The record is from RNAcentral.
GAUGAAGAACGUAGCAAAAUGCGAUACUUGGUGUGAAUUGCAGAAUCCCGUGAACCAUCGAGUUUUUGAACGCAAGUUGCGCCCGAAGCCUUUUGGCCGAGGGCACGUCUGCCUGGGCGUCACGCAUCGCGUCGCCCCCCACAAUUCUCCGUAAAGGGAACAUGUGUUUUGGGGGCGGAUAUUGGUCUCCCGCGCUCAUGGCGUGGUUGGCCGAAAUAGGAGUCCUUUCGAUGGACGCACGAACUAGUGGUGGUCGUAAAAACCCUCGUCUUUUGUUUCGUGCUGUUGCUCGCAAGGUAAACUCUUUAAAAACCCCAAUGUGUCGUCUCUUGACGACGCUUCGACCGCGACCCCAGGUCAGGCGGGACUACCCGCUGAGUUUAAGCAUAUCAAUAAGCGGAGGA